Molecule: long non-coding RNA, 1189 nt
Organism: Solanum dulcamara
Lineage: Eukaryota; Viridiplantae; Streptophyta; Magnoliopsida; Solanales; Solanaceae
Exons: 3
Source: RefSeq, a predicted model, not a curated record
UGUAGCUUCAGGCUUCCGUUCUCAGAUUUGUAGCUAGAUAGGUUGCGGCUUUCAAGUAUGCCAUUGGGUCGGACGAUCAUCGCACACCUCCCUCUCGUAGCUAGAGUUGAGCUUUACUUUCUUAUAGUUGGGGUUGAGGUUGAGGAUCACACUCAUCUACUUGGCUAGUUAAGCUUUCCUAUCGCAGCGGUUGUGGUGAGUCCUCAUUUAAUUGGGGACUAGUUGUUGAACUUGUUAUUUUUUUUAAAGACUUUGCUAUGUUUCGGGUGAGUUAGGGACAUGUCUUAGCCUCCGCCUAUAUUCAUAAGUAGAGGCAUCUAGUUGGACAAAUGUUUUGAGCUUAUGUUGUCAUGUAUCGUUCUUAAAUUUCUAUUCAUGAUUUAGACUCUCUUAUGAUGCUUUCACUUUUGCUUUACCGUAUGAAUGCUUAUGAUAUGUACAAGAGGCUUGGUUGGAGCCCUUCGAAGUUUCGAUUGCCGUGUUACGAUUAGACCCUAGGUCGGGUCGUGAUAAGAAAAUAUGAAAGUUGUUGGCACUACAGGUAUCUAUGACGAUCUACCUGGUGAUGAAGAAGAAAAGUACAUAACAACCAGGGGGUUUAUAGACUUACAACUAUGGAAGCCAAGGUCGAAGCUAUCAAAGGGAUGGAUACUAUGAUAGGGAUGGACACCGCGAUAAAGCGACUAGCACAACAAGGAUCAAUAAAAAAAUAAUUGGAGUGGUCUUUAUGUGCAUCCUAGAAACAGAGAUAGAGGUGGAGCUAGAGCUAGAGUGAGCAACCCAAGGAUGGAAGAGAUAAGUUUUGCAGAAAAUUAAAUCUACAGAAGCUCGUGUCAAAGAACUAAAGGGAGACAUGUCGAAAAUGACCCCAAUUGUAGAGUCAUACUCAACCUCUAUCAAGUAGUUGGAGCAGCAGAUGGCACAAUUGUCAGCCACGGUAAAUCAAAGGAAGAAUGGUGCACUACCUAGUGACACUGUCCAAAAUCCAAGAAUGGAGAAAUAGUGCGGUUUGAGGAUGUCGUGCCGCGACACUAAAUUAGGUGCUUCAUGGGAGGCUAUCCAUGUGGAUUCUUGAUGAAGUCUGAGUAGUCAGGUAAUCUACUGCUGAUGCCUAGGGCAUUGCAGGUAUAAUUACUUUCCUUGUUUUCAAUUUUGAAGUUUUUGGGUACAUUGGGGACAAUGCACAAAU